Non-coding RNA from Cricetulus griseus (Chinese hamster), 554 nucleotides. The record is from RefSeq and is a predicted model, not a curated record. NCBI's taxonomy places the organism in Eukaryota, Metazoa, Chordata, Mammalia, Rodentia, Cricetidae.
UGGACUUGGGUCCCUGGGAAGGCUCUGAGCCACUGAGUCUUGCUUGGUCCAAGGUGCAGAAGUGAGACAUAAGAUCAGAUGCUUCCAGCAGGCAGACAGACUUGGCAUUUUGUUGUUUGAUUGUUCGUGCUGACUUAGGAGAGAUUAAACCCCGAGCUGUGCAAGGAUGAAGCCGGGUUGCCAUAUGGGAAGCAUCUGCCUCAACAUGCUUAUCUGUCCUAGGAGCAUAAUAAUUGCAUCCAACCUGUAAUCAGGGACAGCGUCACUGGUGGAACAGCACCAAGCCAAGCCUCUUCUCUGGCACAGACACUCUGCUGUGCCGUCAGCCUGCUCUGCCCUCAAUGGAAGGUGUGGGUAAUUAAGGUGCGGUGCCCUGGGGUCAGUUUGGAGAUGUGACUAUUUGCUCAUACGCCUCAGGUAGCCCUCUCCUUUUCUGCCCUGGCAGCCUUGGAAGACACCGUUCCAGAUGACCGCACAGCUCGAGAGAGUUUUCUGUUUGACCCUCCCUGCACUGCCUCUGCACCGAGAAUAAAGUUGCAGAGGUUUAAGCUUCA